RNAcentral lists this ribosomal RNA (377 nucleotides) under uncultured bacterium. Its description in RNAcentral is "partial 16S ribosomal RNA". It matches the Rfam family "Bacterial small subunit ribosomal RNA", at positions 338 to 732 of the family's 1533-position model. The record is from RNAcentral.
CCUACGGGUGGCAGCAGUGAGGAAUAUUGGACAAUGGGGGCAACUCUGAUCCAGCCAUGCCGCGUGAGUGAAGAAGGUAUUCGGGAUGUAAAGCUCUUUCGGCAGUGAAGAAAAUGACGGUACCUGCUUAAGAAGCCCCGGCUAACUACGUGCCAGCAGCCGCGGUAAUACGUAGGGGGCAAGCGUUAUUCGGAUUUACUGGGCGUAAAGGGAGUGUAGGCGGUUUUGUAAGAUUGGAGGGAAAUGCCGGGGCUUAACUGUGGAAUUGCCUUGGAAACUGGGGAACUAGAGUGAGGGAGGGGAAAGCGGAAUGCCUAGUGUAGCGGUGAAAUGCGUAGAUAUUGGGAAGAACACCGGUGGCGAAGGCGGCUAUCUGG